RNAcentral lists this signal recognition particle RNA (97 nucleotides) under Rickettsiales bacterium. RNAcentral describes it as "signal recognition particle sRNA small type". It matches the Rfam family "Bacterial small signal recognition particle RNA". Rfam says of the family: The signal recognition particle (SRP) is a universally conserved ribonucleoprotein involved in the co-translational targeting of proteins to membranes. The record is from RNAcentral. Lineage: Bacteria; Pseudomonadati; Pseudomonadota; Alphaproteobacteria; Rickettsiales.
CGGAGGUUGGUGCGGGCGAGUUGCUUGCUGAACCCGGUCAGGUCAGAGAUGAAGCAGCCGUAGGUGAGAUUUACCCGGGUCGUGCCGGCCUCUUUUU